Molecule: unclassified non-coding RNA, 406 nt
Filed under: soil metagenome
Description: partial contains 5.8S ribosomal RNA, internal transcribed spacer 2, and large subunit ribosomal RNA
Rfam family: 5.8S ribosomal RNA (bases 1-121)
Source: RNAcentral
GAUGAGGAACGUAGCGAAAUGCGAUAAGUAAUGUGAAUUGCAGAAUUCAGUGAAUCAUCGAAUCUUUGAACGCACCUUGCGCCCUUUGGCCAUUCCGAAGGGCAUGCCUGUUUGAGUAUCAUGAACACCUCAACUCUUCAUGGUUUUCCGUGAUGAGCUUGGACUUUGGGGGUCUUGCUGGCCUAUGGUCAGCUCCUCUAAAAUAAAUCAGCUUGCCAGUGUUUGGUGGGUAUCACAGGUGUGAUAACUAUCUACGCUUGUGGUUUUCCACCAGGUAACCUUCAGCAGUGGAGGUUCGCUGGAGCUCACAGAUGUGUCUCUCCUCAGUGAGGACAGCUCUUUGAAUGUUUGAUCUCAAAUCAGGUAGGACUACCCGCUGAACUUAAGCAUAUCAAUAAGCGGAGGA